RNAcentral lists this ribosomal RNA (453 nucleotides) under Paragetocera flavipes. RNAcentral's name for it is "partial 16S ribosomal RNA". The record is from RNAcentral. Lineage: Eukaryota; Metazoa; Arthropoda; Insecta; Coleoptera; Chrysomelidae.
UCUUUUUGUUUUAAAUUUAAAGUCUGGCCUGCCCGUUGAAGUAUUUAAAUGGCCGCGAUAUUUUGAUCGUGCUAAGGUAGCAUAAUCAUUAGUUUUUUAAUUGAAAGCUGGAAUGAAGGGUUGGAUGAAAAAAUAGCUGUCUAUAUUUAAUUUUAUUAAAAUUUUAUUUUUAAGUUAAAAAGCUUAAAUUUUAUUAAAAGACGAGAAGACCCUAUAGAGUUUUAUAAAUUUAUAAGAUUUUUUAUUUAGAAUUAAAUUUUUUAAUUUUAAAAGUUUAUUUUGUUGGGGCGAUUAAAAAAUUUAAUUAACUUUUUUUAUAUUAAUAUAUUAAUUUAUAAAUUUUUGAUCCAAUAUUUUUGAUUAUAAGUUAAAAUUACCUUAGGGAUAACAGCGUUAUUUUAUUAGAGAGUUCUUAUCGAUAAUAAAGAUUGCGACCUCGAUGUUGGAUUAAAA